UCCCUGCAUGGUGCGUACUUAAGGAAGAAAUUUUAGAACCUACAAAGCAAUGGAUAAGGGAGCUGAUCUCUGAAUAUGGCGUGUAAGCUUACACAAUGUAGUAAGAAACCCAUAAGUAUUUAGGUAAGCACCCACCUGUAUAUAUACAGGUCCAUAAAAUUUCUAGAACUUACGGCUAAUGUGGGGGU
RNAcentral lists this non-coding RNA (188 nucleotides) under chicken gut metagenome. RNAcentral's name for it is "6S / SsrS RNA". It matches the Rfam family "6S / SsrS RNA". Rfam says of the family: E. coli 6S RNA was the first non coding RNA to be sequenced, but its function was unknown until recently. The record is from RNAcentral.